RNAcentral lists this ribosomal RNA (498 nucleotides) under uncultured bacterium. Its description in RNAcentral is "partial 16S ribosomal RNA". It matches the Rfam family "Bacterial small subunit ribosomal RNA", at positions 29 to 507 of the family's 1533-position model. The record is from RNAcentral.
ACGAACGCUGGCGGCGUGCCUAAUACAUGCAAGUCGAGCGAAGUUUUUCUGGUGCUUGCCCUAGAAAAACUUAGCGGCGAACGGGUGAGUAACACGUAAAGAACCUGCCUCAUAGACUGGGACAACUAUUGGAAACGAUAGCUAAUACCGGAUAACAGUAUUUCUCGCAUGAGAGAUAUUUAAAAGUUGGUUAUGCUAACACUAUGAGAUGGCUUUGCGGUGCAUUAGCUAGUUGGUGGGGUAAAGGCCCACCAAGGCGACGAUGCAUAGCCGACCUGAGAGGGUGAUCGGCCACACUGGGACUGAGACACGGCCCAGACUCCUACGGGAGGCAGCAGUAGGGAAUCUUCCGCAAUGGGCGAAAGCCUGACGGAGCAACGCCGCGUGAGUGAAGAAGGAUUUCGGUUCGUAAAGCUCUGUUGUUAGGGAAGAAUGGAUAUGUAGUAACUAUACAUGUAAGAGACGGUACCUAACCAGAAAGCCACGGCUAACUACGUG